UCUGCCCAGAAGUUUCUCCAGGAAGCAUCCCUGACCCCAACUGGUGCUCUCAGCAUGUCACAAGGGAGCUUGCUGUCCUCUGCCUUUCAAUUGGGAUUAAUUCUGCUCCAGCACAGACCAAUGAGAUGACAGGACUGAAGUCGGAUAAAAGGCACGCUGCUACAAGCCAACGGCGGUGAGCGGACAGCCGCUGUUUGAUUCGACUCCAGCGGCUUCCAUUCGCACAGCAGGAAGGCGUGCUGAUUCUAAUCUUGUUUACAGGCAGACUUCUGGCUCUGGGUAGUGUCAAGUGAAGGGAUGCUUCUCCGAGAAAAGAAAACGUGAGCACAAUCUCCAUCAAAGGCCUACACUGAGUUUCAACACAGAAAAUGGACUGGAAGACCAGGGCACCAACAAAUGGCGUGAACGGAAGGAGGUUGUGAGCUGGGGUCUGUAACCAGCACCCACCCUUCUCUUCUCAAGGGCGUCUAGGGUAACAUCAGUAUCUUUCAGUAUCUGAAAGUGACCGGUACGCGUAGUGGGGUUCCUUAGAGAACACACUGGACGCCAGUGGGAUUUCCUAAGACGUCCAGGCUUGCAUAGAAACACCACGUGAGCUAUUCCUCUGAAAUAGGCCCAUGUUUGCAGAACUCGGGGUCACUGUGUGGGAAAGCAGUGUGCUGGGCUGGAGAAGCGUUUCUUUUCAAAACUCACUUCUGAGAAAGUGGUGUCUGCCUGUGCUGCUGGCUGUCAACCUGUCCCACGGACAUGCUGCGAUCUGAUCUUACAGCAACGGUUGUGACAGCAGCAAUUGUCCCAUCCCUUACGUCUUCAGUGAGGAAACGGUGAGCAAAGAUGAAGGGAGAGGGAUUAUUUCUUGUGUUACUGUUUUAUGUAUGAAUGAGGAAUUUUAAAGUUAUGAAAACCGCGUUUGGUUGUUUUCAAACCUCACAUUACAUCUACAACACUAAUAUUAUUCAUCUUAUGGAGGAAACUGCACAAAAAUACACACAUGGAGUCUAGAAUUCCCCAAGGACACCAAAGCUGCCUGGACUCCUGGCACAGUGUUAUGAUAUCUCCUGUGAAGUUCCUCCCACGUGGUGCUUCAAGACAUCGCGUUUCCGUCAGCCAAUGAGGUGCAAUGCCGCAUAAGGAGCUCUACAGUAGCCUUGUAGGCAGUGACUCUGAGAGGAAACAUGUGACCUGUUUGUUAUAAAAAUUACCUUUUCCUCAACACUUUCCAACAACCACCUAUGGUUGGUUGGAGCCCACAGAUGACGAGGGACAUUGGUACUACUUUGCUCAUUUAAAGAAUUUCCCCACAAACCAGGUCUGGAGGAGGAGGGACUUAACACUUGGUCUCAGUCUACUUUUGGAUUUAAUGAAAUACAGUGACAGUGGGAGGGAGAGUCACAUAAAAAUAAAUAUCGUGGGACGUUCUUAAAAGGUAAUUGUACGCAUGGAUGCCUUCCCGCUAGUGUUUCCCAACCAAUGUCCUCACUGAAUACACAAGGGAGUUUCUGCUCUUCCUGGGGUGGUUGGGGCACCCUGAAAACCGGUUACAAUGCUGCUGCCGAGGGUCAGCCAAAGUUCCCUGAUGCAGAAGCAACUCUCUGCCGUUUGGAUUGACAGAGAAGAGGGAAAAAAAAGAAGAACUCAGAUUCCUUUUCUGUGGUCUUGCUCUGUUCUCGUGAGAGAUCUUCCCAUGUAGCCCGAGGUGACCUUGGACUCUCAGGCUCCAGCCUCUACCUUCUCAGUACCAGGGUCACAGGCCUGUGCCACCACACAUUGCUUUGGUUUUGUUUCUAGUUCAAGGCGCUUCUUCAAACUGUGGGGGCCUGCUUACUACACAAACGACUACGGAACUCAGUGAUUUACCAUCCCUGUCCUUUUAUAUGUGACGUGGCUCUAAUUUGCCUUGGGCACAAUAUUUCACUUAAGUCUAGCACAGUAGUUCCCAACCUUCCUAAUGCCGGUGACCCUUUAAUACAGUUCCUCAUGUCCUGUAGACCCUCAACCAAUUAUUUCAUGGCUACUUCAUAACUAACUUCAUAACUACUGUUAUGAGUUGUAGUGUAAAUCUCAGUGUUUUCCCGUGGUCUUAGGUAAUCCCUGUGAGGGUUGUGAACGCUAGUCUGGUAUGUAGUGGUCACAUUAAUCGUUCACCUCAUCUGAGCAUGGUCAAGGGCAGCACUAGGCACCACACCCCAGCUCCUGCUCAUUCCCAAACUGGCCCUGGGCUUGGCGAGGGACCAAGCCUCUGGAAUCUUGGGGAGAGAUUGGGAAGUCGGGUUCUUCCCAGUCAUGGUGGCCUGAAGAUGUGACUGGGAGAGGGGUGUGCUCUGUCCUUUUGGGGAUUUCCCUGGCUGCAGCAAAAUAUGGCUAUGACUGGCCAGACAGGAAAGCCAUUGUACUCUGUGCCCAACCCCUUCAUUCUCUAAGUCCGUUUGCCACAGCUGCUCAGUGCUGCUCUGAGAAACACCGACAAGGACCCCUCAACCUCUGUGGCAGGUUACUUUGGAGCGUGCUGAAACCCUUUCCCUUCCUAGGUGUGUUAUAAUGCAAAGCAGGUGUCAGGGCUCUGUGGUGGCCUCGACAGUGCACAUGAAAGCCAUUUAGUCACUACUAGGUUAGAUGCUAUUUCUAUACCUUUAACUUCAGUGUGUAUAUGGCAAAUCAGAAUUGAGAGCUUAUUAUUUCCCAAUGUUAGCCUGUAUAUAUGUUUGGCUUGCAUAUGUUUACAAACGAUAUGGCUUUUUUUUUUCAUUAGCAUGGGCAUAGAAAAGACAUCUUCCCUAUCUUUGCCUUCGUAAGGGCAGACAGUUCCACUUGUAAAGGUGUUCAUCUCUCUGAUGUCUUUGCUCACCCCUUUGAAUGAGCCCCAAGAACACUGGGUCAGAGUCCCAUAUAUGGUCUACACCAGAGCCUCCAUCCUCCUUGGCACCUUUCAGGGUAGUUCAUAAUGUAUGUGCCAACAAACAUGAUUGAACUCUUUCUCAAAGAGCAAGCCAAAUAAUUAGAAAAUUAUUCCCCCUAUAAAAAUUGAAAUAAUUUUUAAGACAAUCACUAGGGAAAUUUCCAAAAUAACUAACCUGUUUAUCUUAAAUUUGGGGGAGGACUCAGCAACCCAAAGAUGUUAACUUGCAAGUUGUACUGGUCUAUCCUGUCGAAACUCAUAUACACUGUGACUGUGAAGAACCCACGGAGGGCGAAGCAACAGAGGAGGUAGGUGUAAACUUCAGGGUUCUGUUUACAGGCUGCACAGCUUCCGAAAGUCACUUAGCCCGGCACAGCUUUCUGCAUCUUUCCUAACACUCUCCCAAGGUUGUGGGGAUGAUCAGAUAACAUUCUACACAGAUGGGUUUCAUAAACUAGAGAACAGUGGUUCUCAGCCUUCCCAGUGCUGUGACCCUGAUUUAGUACAGUUCAUGUUGUGGUGAGCGCCAACUACAAAAUUGUUUUCUAUGUAAAUUGAUUUGCUGCUUCAUAACCGUGAUUUUGUUAUUAUUGUGAGGUAAUGUAAUUAUCAGUGCUUUCCAAUGGCCUUAGGUGACCCUGUGACAGGGUCUUUUGACUCUAAAAGAAUCCAGAGCCACAGGUUGAAAACUGCUGCUGUGGAUGCUCCUACUUGGGUAGUGAAUUAGAAUGAAUUAGACAAAAGAAAGGAAAGCUCUAGUUACUUUUCUGUUGCUGUGAUAAAUGCCAUGACCAAAAGCAACUUCAUAUUUCAGGGAAGAAGGAAGAAGCACAUACACACUGCAGCUACUAUGAUGGCCACUUACUGAGUCUAUAUAAGAGGCAGAGACCUGAGGUAGCUAACCUGGUCUAUCUGGCCACGUGACCAGCUCAACCUUAUUAUGACAUAGUAAGAAUCCUUCACGAAGUGGGAGAGUCAUGCUUUUCCACCUCCCAGAACCAUGGUCAAAUAAACCUCUGAGUUAGCUUCACAUGACUGCCUCGAAAUGCAUGAGGUAUUACCUCAGAAGUGAAAAGGUUUAUCAUGGUUCACAGAGAAUGCGGUCCAAAGCUGGGCAGACCCGCUGCUUCGGGUCUCUGGCUGAGGUGUCAAGUGGCAGUGAUAGGAGACACGUGAGAUAGAAAAUGGCUCAUCUCACUGUCAGAGAAAAUAUUCCCAGAAUCCCUUUGUAAGAGCACGGCCCACUGACCCAAGACCUCCACUCAUUUUGCCUCUUGGAGAUUCCACCAUCUCCCAAGAGUGCUACCCUGGAACCAAACCUUUAAUAAGUGGGCUUUCAGGGACACUUAUCCAAACACUGAAGCUGUUUUCUUUCUCUCUGUCAAGCAACAGAAAAUACACUAAGGGUGUUUUGAUCAAACUGUCCCAAACCCUGGCUAACUACCCAGGCUACAAGGAAUACUGUAGCUAUAAUAGAUGUUCUCUCCUGUUCUGUCUCUAUUCUGAAGUGUGACUACAGGCCCAGUUUUGUGAGGGAUUCUCCGAGGAGUGCUUACAUUUGUAAUGGUCUUACCACAAGAUCAUCUUGCUCGAUGGUGUCUAGAACUAUGGCCCAGUGCACAAAUGCCUAUUCUGGUAGCUGCCCCACAUUCCAUUUCUCCAGACCCAGAGUCUUUUUGGUGGGUAGUACCUGCCUCUCUCCACCUAGACCCUUGCCAACCCUCUAUGAGAGGCACAAUGUCUCCAUGCUAGCUUUAAUACAGGUCCAGUCACUCAUCAUCCUACAAGGCCAGGCUCCAUUGGAAUUAAUAGGUGAUGUCCAAGGUACAGUGAUGGGAACCUCUAGGGAGUGACAUGGAGACGAUAGGAAGGAGCAUUCUGAGAUGCUCCAAUGGCCACGGCCACUUCCCAAUAGACUCGUAUUCUUGAAAACUGCAGGGGAACACCUAAAGGCUAAGAAACCCUGAAGGCAUGAGGCACUCACUAGAAACCACAUCCCGGAGCUGAGUUUGAGUUCCCUUCCUCUCGAUCUUGGUAUUUGAUCCUGUGGACAUGGUAAGUCACCAGAGUGAUAACGAGACCACAGGGAUGAGCUUGGGUCUGAUAACGAGACCACAGGGAUGAGCUUGGGUCAGAGGUGUGCAUACGUAUGCUGCAGCUAACUCAUGUGUUGUUCAAUCUUCUGUUUGUUAGCAGCACUAGGUGAACUGCCAGGCUGUUGGACAGGUCUGGUUACUGGCGGCCAGCCCUCGGGACCCUAAGGAGUAGUGCUUCCGACCCUUAUCAAAAACGUCACAGAACUUUAGCCUACAAGACACCGGAAUGCUUUUGCCUGCUACAAUUGCUAAGCCUGGAGCCAUCUGAGCAGCCUUUUAUCAUUGGUCUACACUGAGGCCUGAAGCCUCAUGUGUGUGGAUGGAGACUCUGGAGCUCAAAGGUACCUGACAUGAAAAGGUCACUCACCUUCAAGCAAGACAAAUGGGCUACCAUUUACAACUCCCAAAGGCAGCCUGGCAAACAGUGAGUCUCGUGGCAGUGUCUGUGAGACAUCCAGAAAAGGACACAGAUAACACCAAUGCCACAAUGCACAAAAAAAGACACAGGGUAUCUGAACGCCAUAGAAAACAGGUAUGAGUCACAGGUACUCCCCUGCCUCAACCAGGCUCAGUGAAGAUUUUCUUCCUAGGAAAAGGUGGGGUCCACUUAGGACACGAUUGGAGCCUUUAUUCUAAGCAACCAGUCUUAGAAUAUGGCUUGUCAUUGAGGAACUCAAUUUAAAAAAAGAUGUCUGCCUUUUAUACUGGGAUCUGGUGCGUGUGCUCAUGGGCUCUCUCUUCCUCCCCACCUUCGGAUCAGACUCACAGUUACUGUGGCUGUGGAGUUUUGAGGCUCUGUAAAUCCAAAGGGGAAGAAGAGGGUGGAUGGGGACUCUGGGCAGAUUGUCUAGGCUCACAGAACCACCACCCUUCGGCCCUCACUGGCUGAGGCACCACCGACUCUCCCACCCCUUCCCUCGUAGAGGUAACAGUCAUGCCUCUCUUGCUGAAUGAAUGCUUGGGCUAAAAUCCUGGGCAACCGCACAGUGACAAGAACACACACACCCAAAAGCACAAAAUCCCUCUGGAGUCCCUCAGCGCACUGACUCACAACUCGGGGAUCAUAAAAAUCCCCUACAGAGUUACCCUUUCACCGUCUACCUGUAGCAAACAGCUGGAGAUGGUGGAGCCUGGUCUCCAAGCCAGAUUUCUCCAGAUCCUCUACUCCAUACCCUACCUUACCUGACUCACAGGACACUCCACGGGGAAAUCCUCUAGCUUCCAGCUUUCACUCUAAGGGAUCAGGGCCACCACAGUGUCUGAGAGCUGGGACUGCACUUCCUACUCCCUGCUUUGUCCUCCACUCUUCACAGGUUCCAAGCACUUUGCAUUUGUAAAUGUAAGUAGCUCUCUAGGUCCUCCUGAAUUGUCAUUUGACAGCUGGAAGCUGGGACACUGAACUCUCUCCUCCAGCCCGAAGCCAUUCCACUCCUCUGAGCAUUGUAGGCAUUCUUAACGCUACCUGGACAGUGAAAUCUACAUCAGGAGCCUCUUGGUGUCCCCACUGCCUGGUGGCACAAUUUAGCAAGGAUGCCUUUCUGUAAGCCCAGGGCUGGACUUGGUCAGGCUGCAACUCCAAAGCCAUAACCACCAGACUGCUGUCCCUUGGGGCAAUGCCAGCAGAAACUAUAAUUUCAGCAGAUCCCUGAGAAGCACAUGAAUAAUGUAUAUGAUGUAAUGGGCUUUGAGUUAUUAGAGGGGAAUGGGGCUGGGACAGAUAAAUUAGACCUUAACAUUUGCAGCUGACUUCCAGGACACAAGUCUUCAUGUGCAUUUAGUUGACUGUCCUUGUCAAAGACCCAUCACAGGCUUUCUUUGGAGAGAAAGCUGGACACUAACAGUUUUCUUGGUGCUGUUGCAGACAUGUUUGUAUUGGAAGCUAUGUCGUCCCUGAAGAGUAAGACACUAAGGUCUCUCAGCCUACUGUAAGACUUUGGAGAAAUCAGGACACCUUUCCCAAUUAGGACGCUUCCUGUUCGCUUCUGCUCCUCCAGUCCUAAAUAAAGCCUGUUCUGUUCUCAUUAAGUCCUUACUUAAUUAGCUCAAAUAAAAUCAGGGCUUAGUGUAGUACGGUCAGUCACGCUAUACCAGUCAAAACCUCAUCCAACCAGUUCUGUAAAUUAUGAUCGUAUGCAUCAGGGUGGCACUUUUACCAUUGCUAGUAUGAAUGACAGCUAUAUCCAUUGGACACAGACUCCCUAAUUACCCUGGUCCCCAUCAGUCCUUAUCAUCUCCUUACACGGCUGUUUUUGCUUAGCAACUCAUUCUUCAAGACUAAAAGCACUGCUCAGAAUAGAAGCAGACUUCUGUAGUCAAAAGCUAACCGUCUACCUACAGGGAGGAUAAUGAAAGCUCACGUGGUCAUUCAAAACAUCUGAGGACACAAGUCCUGUUGUGCAGUAAAAAAAUAUUCCUAAGCAUUUAACAUUUAGUCAAACCGAUGUUUACAAUGCACCCCCUCUCCUCUCCUUUCUUAAUCUCCCCCUUGUUCUCCUUCGAAUGAUUAUUUGAUUUUUAAAUGCCAGACGUUAAUAACACCCAGGUACUAAUCCUUUACUUAUUGGCUGUCAAGACCAAACCUGCCCAGGAAAAAUGUCUUUUCAGAAAAAUCUCUAGGGGGGAUAUUUUCUGGGGAGGCCUGAACUAAGUUGAUGCCUAUUCAUAUCAGAAACUACCUUAUGAAAUAAAUCCGAGCAAUAUUAACUUCUUUUUUUUCUUUUUUUUUUUUUUUUUUUUGGUUCUUUUUUUCGGAGCU
This 7747-nucleotide small RNA is filed under the name Rattus norvegicus (Norway rat). RNAcentral describes it as "uncharacterized LOC108348918". Lineage: Eukaryota; Metazoa; Chordata; Mammalia; Rodentia; Muridae. The record is from RNAcentral.